Streptomyces caelestis is the source of this 75-nucleotide non-coding RNA. It matches the Rfam family "ASpks TB sRNA". NCBI's taxonomy places the organism in Bacteria, Bacillati, Actinomycetota, Actinomycetes, Kitasatosporales, Streptomycetaceae. The record is from Rfam.
CUUGAUGGAGCCGAGCAGCAGGGGCCGUUCGGGGUCGCGGCCCUGGCCGUAGGUGGCGAGCAGCGCCUGUGCCUC